RNAcentral lists this ribosomal RNA (164 nucleotides) under uncultured bacterium. RNAcentral describes it as "partial 16S rRNA". It matches the Rfam family "Bacterial small subunit ribosomal RNA", at positions 355 to 511 of the family's 1533-position model. The record is from RNAcentral.
UAGGGAAUCUUCCACAAUGGACGCAAGUCUGAUGGAGCAACGCCGCGUGAGUGAAGAAGGUCUUCGGAUCGUAAAACUCUGUUGUUAGAGAAGAACACGAGUGAGAGUAACUGUUCAUUCGAUGACGGUAUCUAACCAGAAAGUCACGGCUAACUACGUGCCGG